Cyprinus carpio (common carp) is the source of this 1851-nucleotide long non-coding RNA. Lineage: Eukaryota; Metazoa; Chordata; Actinopteri; Cypriniformes; Cyprinidae. The record is from Ensembl.
AUGCAUCCUGGUGCAGGAUCUCUGUCUGUUGCGGCGCAGAAUAAACUUUAUCCGUGUCUGGUGAAAGCCUCUCAUGGAGUGAAUACUUUCAGCACCCUAAUUGCAAUGAUAGCCAUUUUUCUGAUGAGCAUGCAAUUAGCAUCAAUACCAAGAAAUCAUCAUUUUAUUUUGCCGACCAUUGUAAUAUUGGCAUUCACCAUCCUUCAGUUCAUCAUCUCCAUCUGUAUCUCAACAUUUUCCUACAAAGCCAUCAGCAACAACGACUCUACAGUAGUAAAUGUUGCACUAAACUAGGGAAACUGAGUCAUUAUGAAGAGAUCCAUAGGCUCCAAGGAAAUUAAUAUCUCAUAAUAUUGUUGCUUUUUUAAUCUGCUCUAGUGUUACAGUGUUGUAUUUAUGCAUAUUUUGUUAUAUAUUUGAAAACUGUACUUCUGCAUCAGGCCCAUGUAUUUUCAUUUUCAUGUUUGACAUGGAGAAAAAGAUUGUAUUUGUUAACCAAGUUUUUGAAUGAGUAUAUCCUGAACGUGUGUUAAGACCAGUGCUGGGGGCAACGCAUUGAAAGUAAUGUGAGUGACAUAAUCAGAUUACUUUUUUCAAGCAUCUAGUAACUCAUUACUUUUUAAUUUACAGAAAAAAAUUCUGACUUUUUUUCAAAUAAGUAAUACCAGUUUUCCCAUUUACUGACUGACAGCUCUCCUGUUCCUAUGUUGAGAGAAAUCAGGAGUAAGUGCAGAGGCGUUGUUUGCGCUGUGUAAACAUGUUGCUUGCUGAAGUUUUAGACUAAAUGUGAAUAUGCAUUUACAUAUCUCACUUGCACAAAAACAGAUUCAGUAUUCCUAAAAAUUGAAAAAAAUAAUAAAAUAAAAAUAAAAACAGUGAAAUGCAGAUUCAGUAUCAUCAAAAAAAUCCAACAAAAAUAUCCUUUAUGUAUUUAAUCCCAUUUUAUUAACUAUUAUCUUUGCUGCUGACCUUUGAUGAUCCAAUUCAACCAUACUAAUAAAAAAAAUUGUGAAGAGUGCCCUGCAUCUUUUGCAGUCCAGAAUGGCAGCACACCUCAAAAGUCUGUUUGAACUGCAGCCUUUACUAAAUUUUUUUUAGCCUGAUGCUUUUUCAUUUUACUUUUGGUGUGAAAGCACAUAUACAACUUUUCUAUAUUAAAAACAAAAAAGCAAGCCCAGCCCAGAUAAGAAAAAAAGUAACGUUCUGCAUUACUUUCCAUAAAAGUAACUAAGUAACUCAAUUAGUUACUUUUUUAGGGAGUAACACAAUAUUGUAACGCAUUACUUUUAAAAGUAUAACUUUCCCCAACAGACUGUUUUGUCUUGGAGAAAACACACAUGCAGUGGAGAAACACAUGCGCACUAACAAGUGCUUUUCAAAGAUAUUUGUGUUCACAAAUUUCUAUAAUUUAUACGCUACCUUGAAGUUUUGAUUUGAAUUUCUGGAGGAAGAGUGUUUUAUAAUCCUUAAAAAUCUACAGCAAGUUCAUAUGACACAAGCUCCUCCUCAGCGGUUCUUCACAGCGCACACACAAAGAUACCUGAUCAUAAGAGCGAUCAGACAUCCUCAUCAACACAACUCAUUUCACUUCAGGUAAAAUAUUUCAUUUAUUGAUUAUCAUCUAUGAUUAUUUUAAUUAUAGGUCUAUAUUUAUAAACACACUUUGAUAUACAUCAAUCCAAAUUCAACCAUCAUCUUUUGACUGUUUUGAUCUUUCACACCAGUGAUUGUUUUGGUGUAUGUUUUUGCUCAUUUAUUGUUAUACUUUGGUACAUAAAAACUUUAAUUAAAGGUUUUGAGAUUUGUUUGGAUCCCUGUCUAAAAUAUUCUAUAAAUGUAGAAUAAGUUUUU